GUUCCGGGGGGAGUACGGUCGCAAGGCUGAAACUUAAAGGAAUUGGCGGAAGGGCACCACAAGGCGUGGAGCUUGCGGCUUAAUUUGACCCAACGCAGGAAAACUUACCAGGUCCGUACAUAGGGAGGAUUGACAGAUUGAUAGCUCUUUCUUGAUUCUAUGGGAGGUGGUGCAUGGCCGUUUCUAGUUCGUGAGUUGACUUGUCAGGUUAAUUCCGGUAACGAGCGAGACCUCAACUCCUAGCGAGCUCAUCCCGUCGAGCAGUCGCGGGGAUCUCGAUACAUUUGAGACCCCCGCGAAGGGAGUGGAUCGGUGGAGGCAAUUUCAGGGUAUGGGCCAGGGCCGAGCAUUACGGAAUGAGCAUCCUAGGAGGACGCUUGGUGGAAAACCAAGGGAGGCAUGAGGCGAUAGCAGGUCUGUGAUGCCCUUAGAUGUUCUGGGCUGCACGCGCGCUACAAUGGUGCGAGCAAUGAGAUGAGGGCUGAACCGAGAGGUUUGGCGCGCCUCGUAAACCGCACCCUGCCAGGGAUAGAUCAUUGCAAUUGUUGAUCUUGAACGAGGAAUGCCUAGUAAGCACGAGUCAUCAGCUCGUGCUGAAUACGUCCCUGCCCUUUGUACACACCGCCCGUCGCUCCUGCCAAUGGAUCGGCUGGAGAGAGUGAGAGAUCGACCAGGGUAACCUCGCGUCGUAGACCUCCCUCAAUCCGUCAGUAUCUAAAGGAAGGAGAAGUCGUAACAAGGUUUCCGUAG
Molecule: ribosomal RNA, 750 nt
Filed under: Bigelowiella longifila
Lineage: Eukaryota; Cercozoa; Chlorarachniophyceae
Description: partial Eukaryotic small subunit ribosomal RNA
Rfam family: Eukaryotic small subunit ribosomal RNA
Source: RNAcentral